UGAGGAAUAUUGGUCAAUGGGCGAGAGCCUGAACCAGCCAAGUAGCGUGCAGGAUGACGGCCCUAUGGGUUGUAAACUGCUUUUAUAGGGGAAUAAAGUGAGCUACGUGUAGUUUAUUGCAUGUACCCUAUGAAUAAGGACCGGCUAAUUCCGUGCCAGCAGCCGCGGUAAUACGGAAGGUUCGGGCGUUAUCCGGAUUUAUUGGGUUUAAAGGGAGCGUAGGCCGUGGAUUAAGCGUGUUGUGAAAUGUAGAUGCUCAACAUCUGACUUGCAGCGCGAACUGGUUUACUAGAGUGUGCACAACGUAGGCGGAAUUCGUCGUGUAGCGGUGAAAUGCUUAGAUAUGACGAAGAACUCCGAUUGCGAAGGCAGCUUACGGGAGCACAACUGACGCUGAAGCUCGAAGGUGCGGGUAUCAAACAGGAUUAGAUACCCUGGUAGUCCGCACAGUAAACGAUGGAUGCCCGCUGCUGGUCCAUUAGGGUCAGCGGCCAAGCGAAAGCAUUAAGCAUCCCACCUGGGGAGUACGCCGGCACGGU
Molecule: ribosomal RNA, 539 nt
Filed under: uncultured bacterium
Lineage: Bacteria
Description: bacterial SSU rRNA
Rfam family: Bacterial small subunit ribosomal RNA
Source: RNAcentral